RNAcentral lists this ribosomal RNA (449 nucleotides) under uncultured bacterium. RNAcentral describes it as "partial 16S ribosomal RNA". It matches the Rfam family "Bacterial small subunit ribosomal RNA", at positions 29 to 523 of the family's 1533-position model. The record is from RNAcentral.
AACGAACGCUGGCGGCAUGCCUAACACAUGCAAGUCGAGCGAGAUCUUCGGGUCUAGUGGCGCACGGGUGCGUAACGCGUGGGAAUCUGCCCUUUGGUUCGGAAUAACAGUUGGAAACGACUGCUAAUACCGGAUGAUGACGAAAGUCCAAAGAUUUAUCGCCAGAGGAUGAGCCCGCGUAGGAUUAGCUAGUUGGUGUGGUAAAGGCGCACCAAGGCGACGAUCCUUAGCUGGUCUGAGAGGAUGAUCAGCCACACUGGGACUGAGACACGGCCCAGACUCCUACGGGAGGCAGCAGUGGGGAAUAUUGGACAAUGGGCGAAAGCCUGAUCCAGCAAUGCCGCGUGAGUGAUGAAGGCCUUAGGGUUGUAAGGCUCUUUUACCCGGGAUGAUAAUGACAGUACCGGGAGAAUAAGCUCCGGCUAACUCCGUGCCAGCAGCCGCCGUAA